AAUACUUAGUGGCAGACGGGUGAGUAACAUGUGGGUAUCUACCCUUUGGCCUGGAAUAACACGAGGAAACUUGUGCUAAUACCGGAUAAGUCUUUACGGAGAAAGCUUUAUGCACCAUUGGAUGAGCCCGCACUUGAUUAGUUUGUUGGUAGGGUAAUGGCCUACCAAGACUAUGAUCAAUAGCUGAUUUGAGAGGAUGAUCAGCCACAUUGGGACUGAGACACGGCCCAAACUCCUACGGGAGGCAGCAGUGGGGAAUCUUGCACAAUGGAGGAAACUCUGAUGCAGCGAUGCCGCGUGAAUGAAGAAGGCCUUUGGGUUGUAAAGCUCUUUCGUCGGGGAAGAAAAUGACUGUACCCGAAUAAGAAGGUCCGGCUAACUUCGCGCCAGCAGCCGCGGUAAUACGAAGGGACCUAGCGUAGUUCGGAAUUACUGGGCUUAAAGAGUUCGUAGGUGGUUGAAAAAGUUGGUGGUGAAAUCCCAGAGCUUAACUCUGGAACUGCCAUCAAAACUUUUCAGC
RNAcentral lists this ribosomal RNA (520 nucleotides) under uncultured Pelagibacterales bacterium. RNAcentral describes it as "bacterial SSU rRNA". It matches the Rfam family "Bacterial small subunit ribosomal RNA", at positions 87 to 641 of the family's 1533-position model. Lineage: Bacteria; Pseudomonadati; Pseudomonadota; Alphaproteobacteria; Candidatus Pelagibacterales. The record is from RNAcentral.